Molecule: ribosomal RNA, 221 nt
Filed under: Salmonella enterica subsp. enterica serovar Infantis
Lineage: Bacteria; Pseudomonadati; Pseudomonadota; Gammaproteobacteria; Enterobacterales; Enterobacteriaceae
Also listed under: 2 other names
Description: partial 16S ribosomal RNA
Rfam family: Bacterial small subunit ribosomal RNA
Source: RNAcentral
GUUGGUGAGGUAACGGCUCACCAAGGCGACGAUCCCUAGCUGGUCUGAGAGGAUGACCAGCCACACUGGAACUGAGACACGGUCCAGACUCCUACGGGAGGCAGCAGUGGGGAAUAUUGCACAAUGGGCGCAAGCCUGAUGCAGCCAUGCCGCGUGUAUGAAGAAGGCCUUCGGGUUGUAAAGUACUUUCAGCGGGGAGGAAGGUGUUGUGGUUAAUAACC